GACGAACGCUGGCGGCGUGCUUAACACAUGCAAGUCGAACGGAAAGGCCCUGCUUUUGUGGGGUGCUCGAGUGGCGAACGGGUGAGUGACACGUGAGUAACCUGCCCUUGACUUUGGGAUAACUUCAGGAAACUGGGGCUAAUACCGGAUAGGAGCUCCUGCUGCAUGGUGGGGGUUGGAAAGUUUCGGCGGUUGUGGAUGGACUCGCAGCUUAUCAGCUUGUUGGUGGGGUAGUGGCUUACCAAGGCUUUGACGGGUAGCCGGCCUGAGAGGGUGACCGGCCACAUUGGGACUGAGAUACGGCCCAGACUCCUACGGGAGGCAGCAGUGGGGAAUAUUGCACAAUGGGCGGAAGCCUGAUGCAGCAACGCCGCGUGCGGGAUGACGGCCUUCGGGUUGUAAACCGCUUUCGCCUGUGACGAAGCGUGAGUGACGGUAAUGGGUAAAGAAGCACCGGCUAACUACGUG
Molecule: ribosomal RNA, 468 nt
Filed under: uncultured bacterium
Lineage: Bacteria
Description: partial 16S ribosomal RNA
Rfam family: Bacterial small subunit ribosomal RNA
Source: RNAcentral